GCUAAGCACUUACAACUGUUUGCAGAGGAAACUGAGACUUUGCAACUAUGUCUCAGUCUCAUCUGCAAAGAAGUAAGUGCUUUGC
Cavia aperea (Brazilian guinea pig) is the source of this 85-nucleotide microRNA precursor. Ensembl annotates it as microRNA 452. NCBI's taxonomy places the organism in Eukaryota, Metazoa, Chordata, Mammalia, Rodentia, Caviidae. The record is from Ensembl.